Molecule: unclassified non-coding RNA, 398 nt
Filed under: Hevea brasiliensis (rubber tree)
Lineage: Eukaryota; Viridiplantae; Streptophyta; Magnoliopsida; Malpighiales; Euphorbiaceae
Source: RNAcentral
AUCUGAUUGGGGAAAAAGGGACCCAUCCAGGCACCAGACUCAGCGUUGGGCUUUAAAAACAAUAUAAAAUGAGGGUUGUCGGUGGAUUCAUUGAUUUUUGAUAGUCUGCUAAGCCAAGCUAAAGCCAAACCGUAUUGCAAUUUUCACCGAAUCCCUCUUCUGUUGAACUGUGACCCUGGCCAAAAGCUUAUCCCCAUUCCUUAGCAACAAGUAAUCUGAUUUCUCAUUCACAAACUCACAACCCGCCACUUCUAUCCAGAAAUUUAUAUCAUUAAACAUGAACGGCGAUGAUGCUUACGGUGUAUUUGAGGCACAGUACAUAUGGAGACACCACAGACACCAGCCUGGAGAAAACCAGUGCACUUCUGUUCUCGUCAAGCACAUCAAAGCUCCUGUUC